Molecule: ribosomal RNA, 253 nt
Filed under: uncultured bacterium
Lineage: Bacteria
Description: partial 16S ribosomal RNA
Rfam family: Bacterial small subunit ribosomal RNA
Source: RNAcentral
UACGUAGGUGGCAAGCGUUGUUCGGAAUUAUUGGGCGUAAAGGGCGCGUAGGCGGUUUGUUAAGUCGGCUGUGAAAGCCCGGGGCUCAACCCCGGAGGGUCAGCCGAUACUGGCAGACUAGAGUACGGAAGAGGUAGCUGGAAUUCCCGGUGUAGCGGUGAAAUGCGCAGAUAUCAGGAGGAACACCGGUGGCGAAGGCGGUUCUCUGGGCCUUACCUGACACUGAGGAGCGAAAGCGUGGGGAGCGAACAGG